UACGGGGGGGGCAAGCGUUGUCCGGAAUCACUGGGCGUAAAGGGCGCGUAGGCGGCCGAGUAAGUAGGGGGUGAAAUCUCAUGGCUCAACCGUGAGGCUGCCUUCUAGACUGCUUGGCUCGAGCACGGUAGAGGCUGGUGGAAUUCCCGGUGUAGCGGUGGAAUGCGUAGAGAUCGGGAAGAACAUCGGUGGCGAAGGCGGCCAGCUGGGCCGUUGCUGACGCUGAGGCGCGAAAGCGUGGGGAGCAAACAGG
Molecule: ribosomal RNA, 253 nt
Filed under: uncultured bacterium
Lineage: Bacteria
Description: partial 16S ribosomal RNA
Rfam family: Bacterial small subunit ribosomal RNA
Source: RNAcentral